GCCCUUAUAGCUCAGUGGUAGAGCGCAUCACUCGUAUGUUAUGAUGAGGUCCGUCGUUCAAUCCGGCGUGAGGGCA
This is a transfer RNA of Gloeophyllum trabeum ATCC 11539, 76 nucleotides long. It matches the Rfam family "tRNA". Rfam says of the family: Transfer RNA (tRNA) molecules are approximately 80 nucleotides in length. Their secondary structure includes four short double-helical elements and three loops (D, anti-codon, and T loops). The record is from Rfam. Lineage: Eukaryota; Fungi; Basidiomycota; Agaricomycetes; Gloeophyllales; Gloeophyllaceae.